UGCACAAGGACUACAACAACCUGUGGAUUAUCAAGAAACAUAACACAAACUCAGAUCCCCUAGACCCUUCCUUCCCAGUGGAGUUUGUAAGACAUGGAGACAUUAUUCGACUAGAACACAAAGAAACUUCCCGGAACUUGCACAGUCACUAUCAUGAGGCCCCCCUGACCCGGAAGCACUAUCAGGUCACCGGCUAUGGCAUAAAUGGAACAGGGGACUCAAAUGAUUUCUGGCGGAUUGAGGUCGUAAACAGAAAAUUUGGAAACCGGAUCAAAGUGCUGAGAAGUCGAAUUCGCUUCAUCCAUUUGGUCACAGGUUGUGUCCUGGGCUCCUCAGGAAAGGUUCUGCCCAAGUGGUAAGUCUCUAGGGUUUUGCUCUCCCAAUCGAGGGUCCUGAUUUUCCUUUCACUCUGCAAGGAGUAUGCCAGAAGCUUUUGUUUUCCUGUGUUCGCCUCCUGUCUGCUUGUUCUUAGUGGCAGAUGGAGGGAGAGUAGAUAUCAGAUGUAUUAUGGAGCACAGAACUCUGGGGGAGCUUCGGUGUUUUAUGUGUUCUGAU
Molecule: small RNA, 555 nt
Filed under: Pongo abelii (Sumatran orangutan)
Lineage: Eukaryota; Metazoa; Chordata; Mammalia; Primates; Hominidae
Description: retained intron
Source: RNAcentral